AGUUCUUCAGUCUGACGACUCCUUCUCUCUUCUCCCUCUCCAGCCAGCACCAUGUGAACCAUCGAAUCUUGUCGGUAACUAUUCUCCUCUCCUU
Molecule: long non-coding RNA, 94 nt
Organism: Neopelma chrysocephalum (saffron-crested tyrant-manakin)
Lineage: Eukaryota; Metazoa; Chordata; Aves; Passeriformes; Pipridae
Exons: 3
Source: RefSeq, a predicted model, not a curated record